GGAGGGUCAUUGGAAACUGGGGAACUUGAGUGCAGAAGAGGAGAGUGGAAUUCCACGUGUAGCGGUGAAAUGCAUAGAGAUGUGGAGGAACACCAGUGGCGAAGGCGACUCUCUGGUCUGUAACUGACGCUGAGGCGCGAAAGCGUGGGGAGCGAACAGGAUUAGAUACCCUGGUAGUCCACGCCGUAAACGAUGAGUGCUAAGUGUUAGAGGGUUUCCGCCCUUUAGUGCUGCAGCAAACGCAUUAAGCACUCCGCCUGGGGAGUACGGUCGCAAGACUGAAACUCAAAGGAAUUGACGGGGGCCCGCACAAGCGGUGGAGCAUGUGGUUUAAUUCGAAGCAACGCGAAGAACCUUACCAGGUCUUGACAUCCUCUGACAACCCUAGAGAUAGGGCUUCCCCUUCGGGGGCAGAGUGACAGGUGGUGCAUGGUUGUCGUCAGCUCGUGUCGUGAGAUGUUGGGUUAAGUCCCGCAACGAGCGCAACCCUUGAUCUUAGUUGCCAGCAUUCAGUUGGGCACUCUAAGGUGACUGCCGGUGACAAACCGGAGGAAGGUGGGGAUGACGUCAAAUCAUCAUGCCCCUUAUGACCUGGGCUACACACGUGCUACAAUGGGCAGAACAAAGGGCAGCGAAGCCGCGAGGCUAAGCCAAUCCCACAAAUCUGUUCUCAGUUCGGAUCGCAGUCUGCAACUCGACUGCGUGAAGCUGGAAUCGCU
This 719-nucleotide ribosomal RNA is filed under the name Bacillus licheniformis. RNAcentral's name for it is "bacterial SSU rRNA". It matches the Rfam family "Bacterial small subunit ribosomal RNA", at positions 617 to 1336 of the family's 1533-position model. The record is from RNAcentral. Lineage: Bacteria; Bacillati; Bacillota; Bacilli; Caryophanales; Bacillaceae.